This 253-nucleotide ribosomal RNA is filed under the name uncultured bacterium. RNAcentral's name for it is "partial 16S ribosomal RNA". It matches the Rfam family "Bacterial small subunit ribosomal RNA", at positions 524 to 776 of the family's 1533-position model. The record is from RNAcentral.
UACGGAGGGGGUUAGCGUUGUUCGGAAUUACUGGGCGUAAAGCGCGCGUAGGCGGAUUAGAAAGUUGNGGGUGAAAUCCCGGGGCUCAACCCCGGAACUGCCUCCAAAACUACUAGUCUAGAGUUCGAGAGAGGUGAGUGGAAUUCCGAGUGUAGAGGUGAAAUUCGUAGAUAUUCGGAGGAACACCAGUGGCGAAGGCGGUUCACUGGCUCGAUACUGACGCUGAGGUGCGAAAGUGUGGGGAGCAAACAGG